UCCCUUUUUCCUUCUUUUCUUUCUUUUCUUUUCCUCUCUUCUCUCUAUUCUUCACGCACGUUCUCUUCCUCUUCCUUUCUUUCUCCUUUCUUUUCUUUUCUUCCUUUUCCCUCAGUUCCGCAUGCACAUAGCUCUUCCUCUCUCCCUUUCUCCCUCCCAUUUCUUCCUCGUCUGUUCGUCUCACUCACUGGUCCGAGAUGCGGUGGUGCAGAGUUGGAGAUUGAGAGAGUUGCAGCUUGAGAGAGACACACGACGCAGUAGAAAGAAGAAGAAGAGGGUAGUCUCCGGCCAUGGGCUUCUAGAGAUGUGGCAAACCCCCACAACUGUAUAGAUAAUAUUUCUUGGCUGCAGGUACUCCGGUUGUAGUUGAUGGUGUUGUAGAUGUGCACUUGAAGUAUUAUGACCAAAGCUCAUCGCGACGGCCGUAAUUGAAAGACCAUGGGCGUCCUCUAUUUUAUAGGUUUUGUUUAUGGUUUGUGACUCCUGUGUCACUUGUUAUUGUAUAAACCAUUUCUGUUGUUAUUAUAUUAAGGAAAGACUUAAACAGAUAGAUGUUAAAUGACUCUUGUUGUAAUUAAUUUAUGAUAGAUGUAUAAGAUGUAAUUUCCGCUA
Long non-coding RNA from Alnus glutinosa, 612 nucleotides. RefSeq lists it as uncharacterized. The transcript is spliced from 2 exons. NCBI's taxonomy places the organism in Eukaryota, Viridiplantae, Streptophyta, Magnoliopsida, Fagales, Betulaceae. The record is from RefSeq and is a predicted model, not a curated record.